This is a long non-coding RNA of Equus quagga, 1763 nucleotides long. RefSeq lists it as uncharacterized. The record is from RefSeq and is a predicted model, not a curated record. Lineage: Eukaryota; Metazoa; Chordata; Mammalia; Perissodactyla; Equidae. The transcript is spliced from 7 exons.
GAUCUUGUGGCUCCCGUCCCGAGCUGUCCCAAACCAUCCCUCAGCUUCUCGCGCCGUCCCUUCUGACCCGUCGCCGACAGUCCUGGCCCCUUGGGCCCUGCGGCUGCCGAGCUUGCGGAGAGAUGGGACCUCGGCCUCGGACGGCUGAGCGGGCUCUGCGUCCGCCGGCGCCCCCUGCUCUGCUGCGGGGCCCUGACCCGCGCUGCCCGACGCGCCCUCCGUGUCCAGCGGCUGAGGCUGUGCCCUGGCUCAGCGCCUGGCAGGGGUCCAGUGUUCACCAGUUGUGAACAAAUGCACAACAAGAGAGAAGAAAAGGAGAGACACAUCCUUGUAAGGUGGUAUGGCCUCAUCACGUUGUGGAAGAUCAGAGAAAGACUACGUGGGAGCCAACCAGGGGGAGAGGGGGCAGCUCGGCGCAGAGGGGCCCUUGAGAGGUGUCUCCAUCCUGUCAGGAAGCAGCUGGACCACAGUGCUCCCAAGAGGUGUCCACCCUUUCCUCUCCUGUCUGGGCCAAGUUGAAGGAAUUUUUCUGCAGGAUUGAAGCAAUUACGCGGUCCUGUGCUCAACUAUGCUGACUCCUCCAGGCCUCUGCCACUGGCCUCCUUUUUCAGCAAGCCCUCUGUCCUUUUCUGCCUCUGCAUUUGGAAGUGAUCACAGCUGCCCGUGUCCUGCUCAUUGGUAGUGCAGACAGAGGAAACGUGGAGAGGAUUGUCCCAUGUUGGAGGGUCCACAUCCUCCCCUUCCAGUUCUGGGAGCUUUUCCACAUUCCUACUUCUCUUCUACACACACCUUGGGCCUCCAGGGCCUUAAGGGCUGUCAUGUGUGUGUCGGUGUCAUUGCUGGGGCUUUCACUUCCUGCCCCUGCUGUUGGGAACCAGGCUAUGUGUGUUGCUUAAGUUCCGCUUCAUGCCCAGCUCGGUUGCUGUGAGUCAGCCAUGGCACACUCCCAUAAACCCGGCCUUGGCAUCCUUUUCAGCCUAUCGCUGAUUAAUUACACGUUAAUCAGUGUUGCCCACCCUGCCGUAGGCCAUCCACUGUCUCCCUCUUUAACUCUUUAGAGUUAACUACUAUCCCUUUUUAUGAGAAAAUAAUGUAUCUGUUUAGGAAGUAAUAACAGCAGGCAUUUGUGGACUGUUUACUAUCUGGUAACUACUGUGCUCAGCUCUUUCCUGAUGCCGACCAUGCCCUGUUGUGAGCAGGGACAAGUGAGGUGCUCAUUCAUGGCUUCUUUCUGUUUCAGAUGAGUCCACUGUGUGCCAAGGUGGUCAUGGGAGUUAUCAUGUCAGGAACAUUCUAGACCCCAGCGUCCUUGAGGGGUGCUGCUGUAGAUCUGGAGCUCGUUGGAGGAAUCCUCAAGGGGUUGGACGCAUCGGCCCUCUCAGGAUGCUUACCUGGGUCCCAGUUCUCCUGGAGAGGCCUCCUCGUGAUUAUUUUGGAGUUCAUCACAGACACUGGUGUAGCAGAGUGAAGAGUGAUGUUGCCACAUGACACCUCGCCAGACCUUCUAACCCUGUUGUAUCAGCAAAACAUAGGAGGACUUUUCCCUCAGAGUGAGUGGAUACAUGAGGCUUAUGUCCAGAGCUGGCUCUGCCCUUCCCCAGCAGUGUCGCAGAGCGUCAUGGACCAAGAAGACUGGUUUCCUUUCAUCUGGGCCUGGUCAUCCAGUGGCCUCCAUGUCCCCCUGUCCUCCAGUGUAACUUUUUAGAGCCAAGAGUUUUCUGUGCUUUGUAUCCUUGUCCUCUCACCCACCAAAUAAAUCUUGA